UGGGGAAUAUUGCACAAUGGGGGAAACCCUGAUGCAGCGACGCCGCGUGAACGAAGAAGGUAUUCGUAUCGUAAAGUUCUGUCCUAUGGGAAGAUAAUGACAGUACCAUAGAAGAAAGCUCCGGCUAAAUACGUGCCAGCAGCCGCGGUAAUACGUAUGGAGCGAGCGUUGUCCGGAAUUAUUGGGCGUAAAGGGUACGCAGGCGGUUUAAUAAGUCGAAUGUUAAAGAUCGGGGCUCAACCCCGUAAAGCAUUGGAAACUGAUAAACUUGAGUAGUGGAGAGGAAAGUGGAAUUCCUAGUGUAGUGGUGAAAUACGUAGAUAUUAGGAGGAAUACCAGUAGCGAAGGCGACUUUCUGGACACAAAAUGACGCUGAGGUACGAAAGCGUGGGGAGCAAACAGG
Molecule: ribosomal RNA, 403 nt
Filed under: Actinomycetes bacterium
Lineage: Bacteria; Bacillati; Actinomycetota; Actinomycetes
Description: Actinobacteria bacterium partial 16S ribosomal RNA
Rfam family: Bacterial small subunit ribosomal RNA
Source: RNAcentral